ACCGAAUAGAUACCCGGGUAGUCCACGCUGUAAAACGAUGAGAACUAGACGUUGGAAGGAUCUGCCUUUCAGUGUCGCAGCUAAACGCGUUAAAGUUCUCCGCCUGGGGGAGUACGGCCGCAAGGUUGAAAACUCAAAGGAAUUGACGGGGGCCCGCACAAGCGGUGGAGUAUGUGGUUUAAUUCGAUGCAACGCGAAGAACCUUACCUGGUCUUGACAUCCUCGGAACCCUGCAGAGAUGCGGGGGUGCCUUCGGGAGCCGAGAGACAGGUGCUGCAUGGCUGUCGUCAGCUCGUGUCGUGAGAUGUUGGG
Molecule: ribosomal RNA, 312 nt
Filed under: uncultured bacterium
Lineage: Bacteria
Description: bacterial SSU rRNA
Rfam family: Bacterial small subunit ribosomal RNA
Source: RNAcentral